This 92-nucleotide small nucleolar RNA is filed under the name Anabas testudineus (climbing perch). RNAcentral describes it as "Small nucleolar SNORD12/SNORD106 (ENSATEG00000013410.2)". It matches the Rfam family "Small nucleolar SNORD12/SNORD106". From Rfam's summary of the family: This family belong to the C/D class of snoRNA which contain the C (UGAUGA) and D (CUGA) box motifs. This family includes the human ortholog of mouse snoRNA HBII-99 and human snoRNA U106. The record is from Rfam by way of RNAcentral. Lineage: Eukaryota; Metazoa; Chordata; Actinopteri; Anabantiformes; Anabantidae.
GAUGUGGUUAAUGAUGCUCAUCUUUUUUCCCCAUCUUAUCGACAAUGGUGAAUUCUGACUGAAACUAAGCCAAUAAUGUCUGAAACCACAUC